CCUACGGGUGGCAGCAGUGAGGAAUAUUGGUCAAUGGACGCGAGCCUGAACCAGCCAAGUAGCGUGAAGGAAGACUGCUCUACGGGUUGUAAACUUCUUUUAUAAAGGAAUAAAGUGAGGCACGUGUACCUUUUUGUAAGUACCUUAUGAAUAAGGAUCGGCUAACUCCGUGCCAGCAGCCGCGGUAAUACGGAGGAUCCGAGCGUUAUCCGGAUUUAUUGGGUUUAAAGGGAGCGUAGAUGGGUUGAUAAGUCAGUGGUGAAAGGUUGAGGCUCAACCUUAAAAUUGCAAUUGAUACUGGCAGUCUUGAGUACAGUUGAGGUAGGCGGAAUGCGUGGUGUAGCGGUGAAAUGCUUAGAGAUCACGAAGAACUCCGAUUGCGAAGGCAGCUUACUAAGCUGCCACUGACGUUGAGGCACGAAAGUGUGGGUAGCAAACAGGAUUAGAUACCCGGGUAGUC
RNAcentral lists this ribosomal RNA (460 nucleotides) under uncultured bacterium. RNAcentral's name for it is "partial 16S ribosomal RNA". It matches the Rfam family "Bacterial small subunit ribosomal RNA", at positions 338 to 795 of the family's 1533-position model. The record is from RNAcentral.